UACGUAGGGGGCAAGCGUUGUCCGGAAUCAUUGGGCGUAAAGCGCGCGUAGGCGGCCCUGUAAGUCCGCUGUAAAAGUCAAAGGCUCAACCUUUGAAAGCCGGUGGAUACUGCAGGGCUAGAGUCCGGAAGAGGCGAGUGGAAUUCCUGGUGUAGCGGUGGAAUGCGCAGAUAUCAGGAGGAACACCAAUAGCGAAGGCAGCUCGCUGGGACGGUACUGACGCUGAGGUGCGAAAGCGUGGGGAGCAAACGGG
Molecule: ribosomal RNA, 253 nt
Filed under: uncultured bacterium
Lineage: Bacteria
Description: partial 16S ribosomal RNA
Rfam family: Bacterial small subunit ribosomal RNA
Source: RNAcentral